Molecule: small nuclear RNA, 117 nt
Organism: Heterocephalus glaber (naked mole-rat)
Lineage: Eukaryota; Metazoa; Chordata; Mammalia; Rodentia; Bathyergidae
Gene: U5
Rfam family: U5 spliceosomal RNA
About the family: U5 RNA is a component of both types of known spliceosome. The precise function of this molecule is unknown, though it is known that the 5' loop is required for splice site selection and p220 binding, and that both the 3' stem-loop and the Sm site are important for Sm protein binding and cap methylation.
Source: Ensembl
GUACUCUGGUUUCUCAUCAGAUCGUAUAAAUCUUUCACCUUUUACUAAAGAUUUCCAUGGAGAGGAACAAUUCUGAGUCUUAACCCAAUUUUUUGAGGCCUUGCUUUUAGCAGGGCU